GAGUAGCCGAGUGAAGGGAAAUCUUUCACGCUCGGUUUCGGACGGGAGGGGUGUAGUGGUAACACUCACCUCGACCCUAAU
RNAcentral lists this non-coding RNA (81 nucleotides) under Hyella patelloides LEGE 07179. Lineage: Bacteria; Bacillati; Cyanobacteriota; Cyanophyceae; Pleurocapsales; Pleurocapsaceae. The record is from RNAcentral.